This 496-nucleotide ribosomal RNA is filed under the name uncultured bacterium. RNAcentral describes it as "partial 16S ribosomal RNA". It matches the Rfam family "Bacterial small subunit ribosomal RNA", at positions 29 to 507 of the family's 1533-position model. The record is from RNAcentral.
AUGAACGCUGGCGGCGUGCCUAAUCCAUGCCAGUCGAGCGAACGGACGAGAAUCUUGCUUCUCUGAUGUUAGCGGCGGACGGGUUAGUAACACGUGGAUAACCUACCUAUAAGACUGGGAUAACUUCGGGAAACCGGAGCUAAUACCGGAUGAUAUUUUGAACCGCAUGGUUCAAAAGUGAAAGACGGUCUUGCUGUCACUUAUAUAUGGAUCCGCGCUGCAUUAGCUAGUUGGUAAGGUAACGGCUUACCAAGGCAACGAUGCAUAGCCGACCUGAGAGGGUGAUCGGCCACACUGGAACUGAGACACGGUCCAGACUCCUACGGGAGGCAGCAGUAGGGAAUCUUCCGCAAUGGGCGAAAGCCUGACGGAGCAACGCCGCGUGAGUGAUGAAGGUCUUCGGAUCGUAAAACUCUGUUAUUAGGGAAGAACAUAUGUGUAAGUAACUGUGCACAUCUUGACGGUACCUAAUCAGAAAGCCACGGCUAACUACGUG